This 68-nucleotide transfer RNA is filed under the name Epinephelus coioides (orange-spotted grouper). RNAcentral's name for it is "tRNA-Cys". The record is from RNAcentral. RNAcentral also lists the same sequence under 4 other names. Lineage: Eukaryota; Metazoa; Chordata; Actinopteri; Perciformes; Serranidae.
AGCCCUGAGGUGUUUUAACAUAUUAGAUUGCAAAUCUAAAGAAGCAAGCUGGACGUUUGCCGGGGCUU